UACGUAGGGUGCAAGCGUUAAUCGGAAUUACUGGGCGUAAAGCGUGCGCAGGCGGUUUUGUAAGUCUGUCGUGAAAGCCCCGGGCUCAACCUGGGAAUUGCGAUGGAGACUGCAAGGCUUGAAUCUGGCAGAGGGGGGUAGAAUUCCACGUGUAGCAGUGAAAUGCGUAGAGAUGUGGAGGGACACCGAUGGCGAAGGCAGCCCCCUGGGUCAAGAUUGACGCUCAUGCACGAAAGCGUGGGGAGCAAACAGG
RNAcentral lists this ribosomal RNA (253 nucleotides) under uncultured bacterium. RNAcentral describes it as "partial 16S ribosomal RNA". It matches the Rfam family "Bacterial small subunit ribosomal RNA", at positions 524 to 776 of the family's 1533-position model. The record is from RNAcentral.